This 464-nucleotide ribosomal RNA is filed under the name Vreelandella stevensii. Its description in RNAcentral is "partial 16S ribosomal RNA". It matches the Rfam family "Bacterial small subunit ribosomal RNA", at positions 338 to 795 of the family's 1533-position model. The record is from RNAcentral. Lineage: Bacteria; Pseudomonadati; Pseudomonadota; Gammaproteobacteria; Oceanospirillales; Halomonadaceae.
CCUACGGGGGGCUGCAGUGGGGAAUAUUGGACAAUGGGCGAAAGCCUGAUCCAGCCAUGCCGCGUGUGUGAAGAAGGCCUUCGGGUUGUAAAGCACUUUCAGUGGGGAAGAAAGCCUUGGGGCUAAUACCCUCGAGGAAGGACAUCACCCACAGAAGAAGCACCGGCUAACUCCGUGCCAGCAGCCGCGGUAAUACGGAGGGUGCGAGCGUUAAUCGGAAUUACUGGGCGUAAAGCGCGCGUAGGCGGUCUGAUAAGCCGGUUGUGAAAGCCCCGGGCUCAACCUGGGAACGGCAUCCGGAACUGUCAGGCUAGAGUGCAGGAGAGGAAGGUAGAAUUCCCGGUGUAGCGGUGAAAUGCGUAGAGAUCGGGAGGAAUACCAGUGGCGAAGGCGGCCUUCUGGACUGACACUGACGCUGAGGUGCGAAAGCGUGGGUAGCAAACAGGAUUAGAUCCCCAGUAGUC